GGUUAAGCGACUAAGCGUACACGGUGGAUGCCCUGGCAGUCAGAGGCGAUGAAGGGCGUGCUAAUCUGCGAUAAGCGCCGGUAAGGUGAUAUGAACCGUUAUAACCGGCGAUACCCGAAUGGGGAAACCCAGUGUGAUUCGUCACACUAUCAUUAACUGAAUCCAUAGGUUAAUGAGGCGAACCGGGGGAACUGAAACAUCUAAGUACCCCGAGGAAAAGAAAUCAACCGAGAUUCCCCCAGUAGCGGCGAGCGAACGGGGAGGAGCCCAGAGCCUGAAUCAGCAUGUGUGUUAGUGGAAGCGUCUGGAAAGGCGCGCGAUACAGGGUGACAGCCCCGUACACAAAAGCGCAUGUGCUGUGAGCUCGAUGAGUAGGGCGGGACACGUGGUAUCCUGUCUGAAUAUGGGGGGACCAUCCUCCAAGGCUAAAUACUCCUGACUGACCGAUAGUGAACCAGUACCGUGAGGGAAAGGCGAAAAGAACCCCGGCGAGGGGAGUGAAAAAGAACCUGAAACCGUGUACGUACAAGCAGUGGGAGCACCCUUUGGGGUGUGACUGCGUACCUUUUGUAUAAUGGGUCAGCGACUUAUAUUCUGUAGCAAGGUUAACCGUAUAGGGGAGCCGGAGGGAAACCGAGUCUUAAUUGGGCGUUAAGUUGCAGGGUAUAGACCCGAAACCCGGUGAUCUAGCCAUGGGCAGGUUGAAGGUUGGGUAACACUAACUGGAGGACCGAACCGACUAAUGUUGAAAAAUUAGCGGAUGACCUGUGGCUGGGGGUGAAAGGCCAAUCAAACCGGGAGAUAGCUGGUUCUCCCCGAAAGCUAUUUAGGUAGCGCCUCGUGAAUUCAUCUCCGGGGGUAGAGCACUGUUUCGGCUAGGGGGCCAUCCCGGCUUACCAACCCGAUGCAAACUGCGAAUACCGGAGAAUGUUAUCACGGGAGACACACGGCGGGUGCUAACGUCCGUCGUGAAGAGGGAAACAACCCAGACCGCCAGCUAAGGUCCCAAAGUCAUGGUUAAGUGGGAAACGAUGUGGGAAGGCCCAGACAGCCAGGAUGUUGGCUUAGAAGCAGCCAUCAUUUAAAGAAAGCGUAAUAGCUCACUGGUCGAGUCGGCCUGCGCGGAAGAUGUAACGGGGCUAAACCAUGCACCGAAGCUGCGGCAGCGACACUAUGUGUUGUUGGGUAGGGGAGCGUUCUGUAAGCCUGUGAAGGUGUGUCGUGAGGCAUGCUGGAGGUAUCAGAAGUGCGAAUGCUGACAUAAGUAACGAUAAAGCGGGUGAAAAGCCCGCUCGCCGGAAGACCAAGGGUUCCUGUCCAACGUUAAUCGGGGCAGGGUGAGUCGACCCCUAAGGCGAGGCCGAAAGGCGUAGUCGAUGGGAAACGGGUUAAUAUUCCCGUACUUGGUGUUACUGCGAAGGGGGGACGGAGAAGGCUAUGUUGGCCGGGCGACGGUUGUCCCGGUUUAAGCGUGUAGGUGUGUGUUCCAGGUAAAUCCGGUUCACUUUAACACUGAGGCGUGAUGACGAGGCACUACGGUGCUGAAGCAACAAAUGCCCUGCUUCCAGGAAAAGCCUCUAAGCAUCAGGUAACAUCAAAUCGUACCCCAAACCGACACAGGUGGUCAGGUAGAGAAUACCAAGGCGCUUGAGAGAACUCGGGUGAAGGAACUAGGCAAAAUGGUGCCGUAACUUCGGGAGAAGGCACGCUGACACGUAGGUGAAGUGAUUUACUCAUGGAGCUGAAGUCAGUCGAAGAUACCAGCUGGCUGCAACUGUUUAUUAAAAACACAGCACUGUGCAAACACGAAAGUGGACGUAUACGGUGUGACGCCUGCCCGGUGCCGGAAGGUUAAUUGAUGGGGUCAGCGCAAGCGAAGCUCCUGAUCGAAGCCCCGGUAAACGGCGGCCGUAACUAUAACGGUCCUAAGGUAGCGAAAUUCCUUGUCGGGUAAGUUCCGACCUGCACGAAUGGCGUAAUGAUGGCCAGGCUGUCUCCACCCGAGACUCAGUGAAAUUGAACUCGCUGUGAAGAUGCAGUGUACCCGCGGCAAGACGGAAAGACCCCGUGAACCUUUACUAUAGCUUGACACUGAACAUUGAGCCUUGAUGUGUAGGAUAGGUGGGAGGCUUUGAAGUGUGGACGCCAGUCUGCAUGGAGCCGACCUUGAAAUACCACCCUUUAAUGUUUGAUGUUCUAACGUGGACCCGUAAUCCGGGUUGCGGACAGUGUCUGGUGGGUAGUUUGACUGGGGCGGUCUCCUCCUAAAGAGUAACGGAGGAGCACGAAGGUUGGCUAAUCCUGGUCGGACAUCAGGAGGUUAGUGCAAUGGCAUAAGCCAGCUUGACUGCGAGCGUGACGGCGCGAGCAGGUGCGAAAGCAGGUCAUAGUGAUCCGGUGGUUCUGAAUGGAAGGGCCAUCGCUCAACGGAUAAAAGGUACUCCGGGGAUAACAGGCUGAUACCGCCCAAGAGUUCAUAUCGACGGCGGUGUUUGGCACCUCGAUGUCGGCUCAUCACAUCCUGGGGCUGAAGUAGGUCCCAAGGGUAUGGCUGUUCGCCAUUUAAAGUGGUACGCGAGCUGGGUUUAGAACGUCGUGAGACAGUUCGGUCCCUAUCUGCCGUGGGCGCUGGAGAACUGAGGGGGGCUGCUCCUAGUACGAGAGGACCGGAGUGGACGCAUCACUGGUGUUCGGGUUGUCAUGCCAAUGGCACUGCCCGGUAGCUAAAUGCGGAAGAGAUAAGUGCUGAAAGCAUCUAAGCACGAAACUUGCCCCGAGAUGAGUUCUCCCUGAGACUUAGAGUCUCCUGAAGGAACGUUGAAGACGACGACGUUGAUAGGCCGGGUGUGUAAGCGCAGCGAUGCGUUGAGCUAACCGGUACUAAUGAACCGUGAGGCUUAACCUU
This 2905-nucleotide ribosomal RNA is filed under the name Salmonella enterica. RNAcentral's name for it is "23S ribosomal RNA". It matches the Rfam family "Bacterial large subunit ribosomal RNA". RNAcentral also lists the same sequence under 1 other name. Lineage: Bacteria; Pseudomonadati; Pseudomonadota; Gammaproteobacteria; Enterobacterales; Enterobacteriaceae. The record is from RNAcentral.